RNAcentral lists this transfer RNA (71 nucleotides) under Sphaerodactylus townsendi. Its description in RNAcentral is "tRNA-Ala". It matches the Rfam family "tRNA". Rfam says of the family: Transfer RNA (tRNA) molecules are approximately 80 nucleotides in length. Lineage: Eukaryota; Metazoa; Chordata; Lepidosauria; Squamata; Sphaerodactylidae. The record is from RNAcentral.
GUUUGUGGCUCAGUGGUAGAGCUUCUGGGUUGGCCUUCAGAAGGCUCCAGGGUCUAUCCCUGGCAUGUCCA